Molecule: ribosomal RNA, 301 nt
Filed under: uncultured bacterium
Lineage: Bacteria
Description: partial 16S ribosomal RNA
Rfam family: Bacterial small subunit ribosomal RNA
Source: RNAcentral
CAGUCGCCGCGGGAAUACGAAGGGUGCAAGCGUUAAUCGGAAUUACUGGGCGUAAAGCGUGCGUAGGCGGUGAGUUAAGUCUGCUGUGAAAUCCCCGGGCUCAACCUGGGAAUGGCAGUGGAUACUGGCUCGCUAGAGUGUGUCAGAGGAUGGUGGAAUUCCCGGUGUAGCGGUGAAAUACGUAGAGAUCGGGAGGAACAUCAGUGGCGAAGGCGGCCAUCUGGGACAACACUGACGCUGAGGCACGAAAGCGUGGGGAGCAAACAGGAUUAGAUACCCCCGUAGUCCCUGUCUCUUAUAC